UGAAGGACACACACUCGCUGACAAGUGCUCUCUGUCUGUGGUCUGGAGCCAGGCUGCGUCUGCCGAGGGUCGCUGGAGCAGGUGGUUCUCCAGGUGUUCUCUCGGACAACCUUUAGUUUUUUUUGUUUUCCAGCUAAAGUGAAUGUUACCUUGACGGAGUUGGAAUUUAGGUCACAGCCACUGACAUUUUCAGCAAACAACAAGUGGUUCUCACAGUGAGGUCCCAGGACCGUCAGCAUCCCCUGGACCUGGUCAGAGCUGCAAAUUUGGAGCUCCACCCCAGACCUACUGAAUUAGAUGCUCUGUGUUUUAACCAGGAGCAGAAAUAGUUAAGGCCUGGAAUAGAGUCAAGAGGUACCGUUUCUAUAAAGAUCAGGCGCGGGGGUCCUUACCCCUCUCAAAAUAGAAACCAAGAGAGUGGGCAAAUCACCUUUGCAGAGGGAAAGGUUUAUCAAAGUGAACGCUUGAUGCACCAAGGGAGCAACUCCAGAGGAGCAUGGAUGUGGCUCCCCAAGGUUUACAGGAACUCUCUGGGCGGGAUGCCGGCUGGGUCCUCUUCCGCCUGGGGAAGAAGAGUUACAGCUUGCAGAUUUACGCACUAUUUGAGGCCCAUCUCUGGCGGAGGUCUUAGGCGUGUGCCAUACUUUUCCGUACCUGAUGAAAGAAGAGCCAGAGCCAGGGAACCCUUCCGCCCACCUCCUCCAGAAAAAUGUCCGCCAGCUUCCUGCAGGAGGCGGAGAAACUGAGACUCUGAAAGAUGAAUUCUUUGGCUCUGGGGUUUUAUUGCCUCUCGGUGGCAGAAACCAGGCAUCAGAACCCCAGGCAUCCAGCCCUGAUGCCAGCAGACACAAGAAGAGCAUACAGACAAUAGACCAAACACAAGACUGUACAAAUGGGCAAAGGAACAGAGCCUUAAAGGAACAGAAGGUAGAAAAAGGUACAUGAGGGGCCGGCCGAGUGGCUCAGUUGGUUAAGAGUUAGCUUAAAAGUGAGAGCUCUUAGCAACAGGAUCGCCGGU
Hipposideros armiger (great roundleaf bat) is the source of this 1018-nucleotide long non-coding RNA. RefSeq lists it as uncharacterized. Lineage: Eukaryota; Metazoa; Chordata; Mammalia; Chiroptera; Hipposideridae. The transcript has 7 exons. The record is from RefSeq and is a predicted model, not a curated record.